This 253-nucleotide ribosomal RNA is filed under the name uncultured bacterium. RNAcentral's name for it is "partial 16S ribosomal RNA". It matches the Rfam family "Bacterial small subunit ribosomal RNA", at positions 524 to 776 of the family's 1533-position model. The record is from RNAcentral.
UACGAGUGGUCCAAGCGUUAUCCGGAAUUAUUGGGCGUAAAGGAUAUGUAGGUUGUUAUAUUAGUCUCUGGUCUAACCUCUCGGCUCAACCGGGAACCAGCCAGAGAAACGGUAUAACUAGAGUAUAGUAGGGGUAAGCGGAACUCAUAGUGUAGGGGUGAAAUCCGUUGAUAUUAUGGGGAACACCAAAAGCGAAGGCAGCUUACUGGACUAUUACUGACACUGAAAUAUGAAAGCGUGGGUAGCGAAUGGG